GAAAUAGUCAUUCUUCCAAAUAAAUCUGAGGGAAUGCUUUUCUACCUGUUAGAACCUUGAUCUUGAAGUAUGCUGAGGUUUGCAUUUCAGUCUGAGUACUUUAAUUGUUUUGGCUCAGCACCAUGCUGAAUUGCAACCGUGGCCUUUAACUGCUAAGAGGAGAUCACUCUAGCAAACAGAACAACAUAUCCAUAGCAACAGCAUUAGUCCUGAGUUUUUAAAACACAAAAUGGAAAGAAAAAAAAAAAGAAAAUUCUCCACUGAAAUACAUACUCAAGUCAUGACUUAAGAGUUGGACCAACACUGUCUAGUUAUUCUUGAGCAAUUUUGUGUUGAAAUGCUGUUAAUUAGAAGCAGGUAUCCUUUUCAGAGGUAAGUGCACCACUGAACAUAUUGUACUUCAACAUCUAUAGAAGUAAGAAACAAAAAAUCUGCAAUGUGC
Molecule: long non-coding RNA, 442 nt
Filed under: Coturnix japonica (Japanese quail)
Lineage: Eukaryota; Metazoa; Chordata; Aves; Galliformes; Phasianidae
Description: lncRNA (ENSCJPG00005011764.1)
Source: RNAcentral